RNAcentral lists this non-coding RNA (92 nucleotides) under uncultured Faecousia sp. Its description in RNAcentral is "SAM riboswitch (S box leader)". It matches the Rfam family "SAM riboswitch aptamer (S box leader)". Rfam says of the family: The SAM riboswitch is found upstream of a number of genes which code for proteins involved in methionine or cysteine biosynthesis in Gram-positive bacteria. Lineage: Bacteria; Bacillati; Bacillota; Clostridia; Eubacteriales; Oscillospiraceae. The record is from RNAcentral.
CUUAUCGAGAGCGGCGGAGGGACUGGCCCGAUGAAGCCCGACAACCUGCGAAAGCAAGGUGCCAAUUCCAGCGACUUGAUCGACAGAUGAGG